UCCCUCUUAGCUCAGUGGUAGAGCGCGUCACUAGUAUUCCAGUGGCUAUGUAGUCCGUUCAAUAUGACGAGGUCAGUCGUUCAAGUCGGCUAGAGGGAA
Termitomyces sp. T32_za158 is the source of this 99-nucleotide non-coding RNA. The record is from the annotation of a GenBank genome assembly. NCBI's taxonomy places the organism in Eukaryota, Fungi, Basidiomycota, Agaricomycetes, Agaricales, Lyophyllaceae.